CAGCGCCACAAGUGGCAAUCGUUAUUAUUGGGCCUAAAGCGUCCGUAGCCGGUUUAGUAAGUCUUUUGUGAAAUUGUUGUGCUUAACACAACACUGUGCAAAAGAUACUGCUAGACUUGGAACUGGGAGGAGUUAGGGGUAUUCCAAGGGGAGCGGUAAAAUGCUAUAAUCCUUGGAGGACCACCGGUGGCGAAAGCGCCUAACUAGAACAGAUUCGACGGUGAGGGACGAAAGCCAGGGGAGUAAACCGGAUUAGAUACCCGAGUAGUCC
RNAcentral lists this ribosomal RNA (271 nucleotides) under uncultured archaeon. RNAcentral's name for it is "partial 16S ribosomal RNA". It matches the Rfam family "Archaeal small subunit ribosomal RNA", at positions 477 to 747 of the family's 1478-position model. The record is from RNAcentral.